Molecule: microRNA, 20 nt
Filed under: Human alphaherpesvirus 2
Lineage: Duplodnaviria; Heunggongvirae; Peploviricota; Herviviricetes; Herpesvirales; Orthoherpesviridae
Description: hsv2-miR-H6-5p
Gene: hsv2-miR-H6-5p
Source: miRBase by way of RNAcentral
AAUGGAAGGCGAGGGGAUGC